CCCUUAGAUGUUCUGGGCCGCACGCGUGCUACACUGAGUGGAUCAGCGGGUCAGGUUGCGCGAAAGUGUUUCGUAAUCUUGAAAUCCGCUCGUGAUGGGGAUUGACGGUUGCAAUUUUCCGUCAUGAACGAGGAAUACCUUGUAAGCGCGGGUCAUCAUCCCGCGCUGAAUACGUCCCUGCCCUUUGUACACACCGCCCGUCGCUCCUACCGAUUGAGUGGUCCGGUGAGGCUUUGGGAUCUGAGCGGAAAGAGCGUUUCGCUGUUUCUGCUCGGAAAACUCAGUCGAACCUUAUCAUUUAGAGGAAGGAGAAGUCGUAACA
This 322-nucleotide ribosomal RNA is filed under the name uncultured eukaryote. RNAcentral's name for it is "partial 18S ribosomal RNA". It matches the Rfam family "Eukaryotic small subunit ribosomal RNA", at positions 1470 to 1796 of the family's 1831-position model. The record is from RNAcentral.